UUGCAUGGAUGGAUUCUCCUGCUCUCAGAGUAUGAAGAGGGGGAGAGAUGUGGGGGAAGCUCAGCUGCAGCUGUGGGUACAGAAGGCAGGACUCAGGACAGUCUUCAGCAUGGCCUGGUCCCCUCUCCUCCUCACUCUCCUCACUCACUGUGCAGGGUCCUGGGCCCAGUCUGUGCUGACUCAACCGCCCUCAGUGUCUGGGAACCCUGGGCAGAGGGUCACCAUCUCCUGUUCUGGAAGCAGCUCCAACAUCGGAAGUAAUUAUGUAAACUGGUACCAGCAGGUCCCAGGAAAGGCCCCCAAACUCCUCAUCUAUGGUAACAGCAAUCGGCCCUCAGGGGUCCCUGACCGAUUCUCUGGCUCCAAGUCCGGCACCUCAGCCUCCCUGACUAUCACUGGACUCCAGCCUGAGGAUGAGGCUGAUUAUUACUGCGAAACAUGGGAUGACAGCCUGAGUGCUCUCACAGUGCUCCAGGCCUAGGGGGAAGUGAGACAAGAACCCCCUUCCUCCUCUGACCAGAGGGUGAGCCCCUGGAAGCUGCUGCUCAGGCCUGGCCUGUAGCUUCUGCUGCUGCAGCUUCUCCCAUGGAUCUAGGGGCAUCCAGGGCCCUGCUUGGGAGUGAAGGCUCCUCCUCCCCUUCAAUCCUCAGUCAGAAACAGGGCAUCCAGGAAACAAAACAUCCUGCUCCCUGUGGCUCAGAACACAGGGUCUCUGUACUGAAGUUUUGGGCUGAGGUGGCAGGUCCAGCUGUGUCAUCACAGACUCACCUCUGAUGGGAAACCUGUGUCUCCAUCAUCCCCCCUUUUCCCAUUUCCAGGAGUUUCCAGAGUGGUGUCUUCCUCCCCCUGCUCCUCAGUGUGAAUCCCUGUGCUUUUCUCCCCAGCCCAUUUUUAAAAAAAAUAAAACUCCUUGUAUGUAGGAAUAAUGCACAUCUAAUAAACCACCUAUAUUUAUAA
Non-coding RNA from Sapajus apella (tufted capuchin), 957 nucleotides. The record is from the annotation of a RefSeq genome assembly. Lineage: Eukaryota; Metazoa; Chordata; Mammalia; Primates; Cebidae.